AUUGAACGCUGGCGGCAGGCCUAACACAUGCAAGUCGAGCGGAUGAAGGGAGCUUGCUCCUGGAUUCAGCGGCGGACGGGUGAGGAAUGCCUAGGAAUCUGCCUGGUAGUGGGGGAUAACGUCCGGAAACGGGCGCUAAUACCGCAUACGUCCUGAGGGAGAAAGUGGGGGAUCUUCGGACCUCACGCUAUCAGAUGAGCCUAGGUCGGAUUAGCUAGUUGGUGGGGUAAAGGCCUACCAAGGCGACGAUCCGUAACUGGUCUGAGAGGAUGAUCAGUCACACUGGAACUGAGACACGGUCCAGACUCCUACGGGAGGCAGCAGUGGGGAAUAUUGGGCAAUGGGCGAAAGCCUGAUCCAGCCAUGCCGCGUGUGUGAAGAAGGUCUUCGGAUUGUAAAGCACUUUAAGUUGGGAGGAAGGGCAGUAAGUUAAUACCUUGCUGUUUUGACGUUACCAACAGAAUAAGCACCGGCUAACUUCGUG
This 484-nucleotide ribosomal RNA is filed under the name uncultured bacterium. RNAcentral describes it as "partial 16S ribosomal RNA". It matches the Rfam family "Bacterial small subunit ribosomal RNA", at positions 30 to 507 of the family's 1533-position model. The record is from RNAcentral.